RNAcentral lists this ribosomal RNA (468 nucleotides) under uncultured bacterium. RNAcentral's name for it is "partial 16S ribosomal RNA". It matches the Rfam family "Bacterial small subunit ribosomal RNA", at positions 28 to 507 of the family's 1533-position model. The record is from RNAcentral.
GACGAACGCUGGCGGCGUGCUUAACACAUGCAAGUCGAACGGAAAGGCCCUGCUUUUGUGGGGUGCUCGAGUGGCGAACGGGUGAGUAACACGUGAGUAACCUGCGCUUGACUUUGGGAUAACUUCAGGAAACUGGGGCUAAUACCGGAUAGGAGCUCCUGCUGCAUGGUGGGGGUUGGAAAGUUUCGGCGGUUGGGGAUGGACUCGCGGCUUAUCAGCUUGUUGGUGGGGUAGUGGCUUACCAAGGCUUUGACGGGUAGCUGGCCUGAGAGGGUGACCGGCCACAUUGGGACUGAGAUACGGCCCAGACUCCUACGGGAGGCAGCAGUGGGGAAUAUUGCACAAUGGGCGGAAGCCUGAUGCAGCAACGCCGCGUGCGGGAUGACGGCCUUCGGGUUGUAAACCGCUUUCGCCUGUGACGAAGCGUGAGUGACGGUAAUGGGUAAAGAAGCACCGGCUAACUACGUG